Molecule: ribosomal RNA, 252 nt
Filed under: uncultured bacterium
Lineage: Bacteria
Description: partial 16S ribosomal RNA
Rfam family: Bacterial small subunit ribosomal RNA
Source: RNAcentral
UACAGAGGGUGCAAGCGUUGUUCGGAAUUACUGGGCGUAAAGCGCGUGUAGGUGGCGAGAUAAGUCGGGCGUGAAAUCCCUUGGCUUAACCAAGGAAGUGCAUUCGAUACUGUUUCGCUUGAGUAUCGGAGGGGUCGGCGGAAUUCCGGUGUAGAGGUGAAAUUCGUAGAUAUUGGGAGGAACACCUGUGGCGAAGGCGGCCGACUGGACGAUCACUGACACUGAGACGCGAAAGCGUGGGUAGCAAACAGG